UGAAACCUACGGGACGCAGCAGUGGGGAAUUUUGGACAAUGGGCGCAAGCCUGAUCCAGCUAUUCCGCGUGUGGGAUGACGGCCCUCGGGUUGUAAACCACUUUAGUAGAGAACGAAAAGGAGCUAUCGAAUAAAUAGCUCUGCUGACGGUACUCUAAGAAUAAGCACCGGCUAACUACGUGCCAGCAGCCGCGGUAAUACGUAGGGUGCGAGCGUUAAUCGGAAUUACUGGGCGUAAAGGGUGUGCAGGAGGCUGAGUAAGAAAGAUGGGAAAUCCCCGGGCUUAACCUGGGAACCGCAUAUGG
This 305-nucleotide ribosomal RNA is filed under the name uncultured bacterium. RNAcentral's name for it is "bacterial SSU rRNA". It matches the Rfam family "Bacterial small subunit ribosomal RNA", at positions 333 to 630 of the family's 1533-position model. The record is from RNAcentral.